Manis pentadactyla (Chinese pangolin) is the source of this 2063-nucleotide long non-coding RNA. RefSeq lists it as uncharacterized. The record is from RefSeq and is a predicted model, not a curated record. The transcript is spliced from 4 exons. Lineage: Eukaryota; Metazoa; Chordata; Mammalia; Pholidota; Manidae.
CAGGCAGCCGGCUGGGUGGUUUUGCCCUGGGCAGGCAGUGAAGGAAGAUGGUGUUCCUUGCAGAAGUGCAGAAGUUCCAAAACCUGUCCCCUAUUAUGCAGUGCAAACGAGAACAGAUGGGGAAAAGUUAUGUUGGAAAGGGCUUUGGAGGGCCACCGAGAAGAGAAAUAUGACUACUCAAUGUGUCACACACCAACCUGCAGCUGCCACCAGUCCUUCCACACCACGCGCCGCGUAUGGAGCCAGCCCGCGGUGCUCGCACGGAGCCCGGGGAGGGGACACAAUUAGAGCACAGUCGCUUUUCUUGGGGUUCCUUGAAAAUAUGAAUAAAGAGUACAGUGGCAGCAGAGCCAACAAAAGAGAAAUGCAAAGGCCAGCCUGGAAAACGGUAUUACUCUUCUAGAAAAGUCAUCGUAGCUUCAGUGCAUGAUGUGGCCUACCAGCAUGUGUUUGUCAGUACUCAUAGGGUGCUUAUGGAUUCACUGAAUACUUCAAGGGCAAGGAGGCCACUGAUCUGGUUUCAGAUGGCAAGUCUGCCAGUUACAAGCUGUGAGACCUCAGCGCGUGUAUGCAAAGACUUUCUGUCACAGAACACUGCUCGCCUUCCAAGGGUAGUUCAUAAAUUACCUAGAUCAGAAUCUCUAUGGGAGGGUGUUAAGAUGCAAUUUCCUGGGCUCACCUCAGACUAUAUUUUCAAUGUCUCUAAGGUAUGAAGUUUGGAGAUCCUUGUUUUAAAUUAAAAUGAUGGGGAUCCUUAAACACACUGAGGUUUGAGACCCACUUCCUUAAGGAGUGGGGACAGUGAUCAUUCUCAUUUUGAGUCAUUUCGAGCUUACCUUCCCUCUCCCGACACACACGGGCCCAGAACUGCAGCAGCAGCUUAUGAAACAGAGGUUUGGGUCUGGUCAUUCUAGCUUCUCCUCUCCACAUCCUCUCUUUUAUUGUUUUUCAUAUGGUUUAGUUAAGGCUGAACUAACCGUCCUCUUUGUCCAUAGGAGACAUUAGCUUGGUUAUACUUUGUCCUGAGAGAAUGGCCAUGUGUCCCAGGUUGCCUGAGACAGUCCUGGGCUGCCUGGCAUAGGUAUUACCAGCACUCUUUUCAUUAUCCAAAGUGUCCCAGUUUGGAUGGUUAAUUAUAUCAUUAUCUUAAGUCUAUGGAACUUUGAUUGGCAUAUGUAGGACAUGAGUAAGGACUGGCAAAAUGUCUCAGAUAAGUUAUUCAAUAGUGUAGGAGGUGCACUAGGCUGAAGUGACAUAAGAAUGAUCAAAGAAAAUCAUACCAUUUCAAGUUGUUCCAUAAACUGGUGUCCAGAAGGGAAGGGUGUAAAACAACUCGGAAUUCUAGACUGGUUAGUAUCUCCCCACUCACCCAAGCAGCUGAGCAAAAGCAUAGAUCUUGGCACCGUCUAGAGCUAGAUAUUUUCUGCCUUUCUGCUUACUGGCUGUGAUCUUGGGCAAGUUAUUCAAUGUCUCUGAAGCUCAAUGUACUCGUGUGUAAAAAAAGAUACUAAGGCUUACUUCAGUUGUGAGGAUUUAAUGAAAUGAGGAUUUAAUGUGUAUAAACACCAGGCAGUGUGGUUAGGGGCUCAGUAAUGCCCAUUCUGCCAUUAUUCUUUCUAUCACGGCCACUCUGCACUGUAUUUCCACUGAAUACAGAUAACUUUUAAAAUAAAGGGUCCUUCAAGAGGAGUCAUGAGGAAGCAGUGGAUAUGGGAGUAGAUUCUAGGAUAGAAAACUUUCUUUCCUCUUUCCUUCCCUUUCUUCCUUCCUGUUUAUCAUUAUCAUUAUUAUUAUUAUUAUUAUUAUUAUUAUUAUCAUUUUUACAAACUCAAAGUCACAAACUCUUUUUGGGAUGGAAAAGAAAGUAAAGGGCUAAAGGGACAAGUAGUGCUGCAAGAACAAUAAAGAAAGGCAUAAUUGUAAUCCUAGGUGAGUGGAAAGAAAAGAAGAAAUAAAGGAAAGGAGGAAGAGAAGAAGGAAGGAAGGAAGGGGAAAGAAAAAAAAAAGAAGGAAAAAAGUAAGGGAUAGAAAGAAGAAGAAAAGGGGUGAUGAAAUGUGAUCUC